RNAcentral lists this ribosomal RNA (253 nucleotides) under uncultured bacterium. RNAcentral's name for it is "partial 16S ribosomal RNA". It matches the Rfam family "Bacterial small subunit ribosomal RNA", at positions 524 to 776 of the family's 1533-position model. The record is from RNAcentral.
UACAGAGGUCUCAAGCGUUGUUCGGAAUCACUGGGCGUAAAGGGUGCGUAGGCGGCGGGGAAAGUCAGAUGUGAAAUCCGGAGGCUCAACCUCCGAAUUGCAUCCGAUACUCCCUCGCUAGAGAUUUGUAGAGGAGUCUGGAAUUCUCGGUGUAGCAGUGAAAUGCGUAGAUAUCGAGAAGAACGCUCGCAGCGAAGGCGAGACUCUGGGCAAAUUCUGACGCUGAUGCACGAAGGCUAGGGGAGCAAACGGG